Molecule: ribosomal RNA, 468 nt
Filed under: uncultured bacterium
Lineage: Bacteria
Description: partial 16S ribosomal RNA
Rfam family: Bacterial small subunit ribosomal RNA
Source: RNAcentral
GACGAACGCUGGCGGCGUGCUUAACACAUGCAAGUCGAACGGAAAGGCCCUGCCUUUGUGGGGUGCUCGAGUGGCGAACGGGUGAGUAACACGUGAGUAACCUGCCCUUGACGUUGGGAUAACUUCAGGAAACUGGGGCUAAUACCGGAUAGGAGCUCCUGCUGCAGGGUGGGGGUUGGAAAGUUUCGGCGGUUGGGGAUGGACUCGCGGCUUAUCAGCUUGGUGGUGGGGGAGUGGCUUACCAAGGCUUUGACGGGUCGCCGGCCUGAGAGGGUGACCGGCCACCUUGGGACUGAGAUACGGCCCAGCCUCCUACGUGAGGCAGCAGUGGGGAAUCUUGCACAAUGGGCGGAAGCCUGAUGCAGCAACGCCGCGUGCGGGAUGCCGGCCUUCGGGUUGUAAACCGCUUUCGCCUGUGACGAAGCGUGGGUGACGGUAAUGUGUAAAGAAGCACCGGCUAACUACGUG